UACGUAGGGUGCAAGCGUUAAUCGGAAUUACUGGGCGUAAAGCGUGCGCAGGCGGUUAUGUAAGACAGAUGUGAAAUCCCCGGGCUUAACCUGGGAAUUGCAUUUGUGACUGCACGGCUAGAGUGUGUCAGAGGGGGGUAGAAUUCCACGUGUAGCAGUGAAAUGCGUAGAUAUGUGGAGGAAUACCGAUGGCGAAGGCAGCCCCCUGGGAUAACACUGACGCUCAUGCACGAAAGCGUGGGGAGCAAACAGG
This 253-nucleotide ribosomal RNA is filed under the name uncultured bacterium. RNAcentral's name for it is "partial 16S ribosomal RNA". It matches the Rfam family "Bacterial small subunit ribosomal RNA", at positions 524 to 776 of the family's 1533-position model. The record is from RNAcentral.